This 493-nucleotide ribosomal RNA is filed under the name uncultured bacterium. RNAcentral describes it as "bacterial SSU rRNA". It matches the Rfam family "Bacterial small subunit ribosomal RNA", at positions 21 to 507 of the family's 1533-position model. The record is from RNAcentral.
GGCUCAGAUUGAACGCUGGCGGCAGGCCUAACACAUGCAAGUCGAGCGGUAGAGAGGUGCUUGCAUCUCUUGAGAGCGGCGGACGGGUGAGUAAUGCCUAGGAAUCUGCCUAGUGGUGGGGGGAUAACGUUCGGAAACGGACGCUAAUACCGCAUACGUCCUACGGGAGAAAGCGGGGGGGAUCUUCGGACCUCGCGCCAUUAGAUGAGCCUAGGUCGGAUUAGCUAGUUGGUGAGGUAAUGGCUCACCAAGGCGACGAUCCGUAACUGGUCUGAGAGGAUGAUCAGUCACACUGGAACUGAGACACGGUCCAGACUCCUACGGGAGGCAGCAGUGGGGAAUAUUGGACAAUGGGCGAAAGCUGAUCCAGCCAUGCCGCGUGUGUGAAGAAGGUCUUCGGAUUGUAAAGCACUUUAAGUUGGGAGGAAGGGUAGUAACCUAAUACGUUGCUACUUUGACGUUACCGACAGAAUAAGCACCGGCUAACUUCGUG